Molecule: ribosomal RNA, 253 nt
Filed under: uncultured bacterium
Lineage: Bacteria
Description: partial 16S ribosomal RNA
Rfam family: Bacterial small subunit ribosomal RNA
Source: RNAcentral
UACGUAGGGGGCAAGCGUUGUCCGGAAUUAUUGGGCGUAAAGAGCGCGUAGGCGGUCCGGUAAGUCGGUUGUGAAAGUCGGGGGCUCAACCCUCGGAUGCCGAUCGAUACUGUCGGGCUAGAGUCCGGAAGAGGCGAGUGGAAUUCCUGGUGUAGCGGUGAAAUGCGCAGAUAUCAGGAGGAACACCAAUUGCGAAGGCAGCUCGCUGGGACGUUACUGACGCUGAGACGCGAAAGCGUGGGGAGCAAACAGG